AGAACGCUGGCGGCGUGCCUAACACAUGCAAGUCGAGCGGAGAUAAGCGGAUGGUAACUGAAGUUUGUCUUAGCGGCGGACGGGUGAGUAACACGUGGGCAACCUGCCUUGGAGUGGGGGAUAACACCGGGAAAUCGGUGCUAAUACCGCAUAACAUACACAUACUGCAUGGUGAGUGUAUCAAAGGAGCAAUCCGCUUUAAGAUGGGCCCGCGGCUGAUUAGCUAGUUGGUAAGGUAACGGCUUACCAAGGCGACGAUCAGUAGCCGACCUGAGAGGGUGACCGGCCACACUGGAACUGAGACACGGUCCAGACUCCUACGGGAGGCAGCGGUGGGGAAUAUUGCGCAAUGGGGGAAACCCUGACGCAGCAACGCCGCGUGGAGGAAGAAGGUCUUCGGAUUGUAAACUCCUGUCUUCUGGGACGAAGUAUGACGGUACCAGAGGAGGAAGCCACGGCUAACUACGUG
RNAcentral lists this ribosomal RNA (469 nucleotides) under uncultured bacterium. RNAcentral describes it as "bacterial SSU rRNA". It matches the Rfam family "Bacterial small subunit ribosomal RNA", at positions 31 to 507 of the family's 1533-position model. The record is from RNAcentral.